Molecule: ribosomal RNA, 253 nt
Filed under: uncultured bacterium
Lineage: Bacteria
Description: partial 16S ribosomal RNA
Rfam family: Bacterial small subunit ribosomal RNA
Source: RNAcentral
UACGGAGGGUGCAAGCGUUAUCCGGAUUUAUUGGGUUUAAAGGGUCCGUAGGCGGAUUAAUAAGUCAGUGGUGAAAUCCUAUCGCUUAACGAUAGAACUGCCAUUGAAACUGUUAGUCUUGAGUGAGGUUGCAGUGGCUGGAAUGUGUAGUGUAGCGGUGAAAUGCUUAGAUAUUACGCAGAACACCAAUUGCGAAGGCAGGUCACUAAGCCUCAACUGACGCUGAUGGACGAAAGCGUGGGGAGCGAACAGG